GGUAAACAUUGUCUCCCAACUCUACUUGUUACCAUUGGUCUUAGAUCCAUAGUUCGGGACCCCCUAACUGAGAUCCGCCGGUUUAGCUCCGACAUUGGUUGCCCAUACAUGUAUAGCUGUGUUGUUGACCCGGAUUAAUGGUUCGUCUUUAGAUUAGCGUUCACAUUGGCAGCAGAGGCAUCUUCGCUCCCAACCAACUUUUCACGCUUGGAAGCGUGGUCCUCAACAUGGGCUCCACCGGCCAUCUUGACCGGGUUGAGAACUUCACGCCCGAUCAAGUGGUCAUGUUUGGAAGCUUGAAGUACACCACCGACACCCGUUUCGAUCUCUCCCUCUCUGGCUAGACCUCGGGUAGGUUGGAGCACUCAUUGGAUACCACGGCUAUGACCCUGGAACUGAUCCCCAACCCAGCAGCCGACACCUUCGAAGAUACGGCCUUGAGCAUGGAUCUAUCCCUCUCCAUCAUAGAUUGCAACAUUGAGCCCGACCCGACUUGGGACUUAGUGUUGAGCUCGGAUCCGAUUGCCUACGAGAUCAACUCGGUUAUGGCUGGACAAUGGACCCAACCAAACUCUCGCUUUUAAACGAGAUGUUAGAUCGAAUCCAGAUCAUCGGGAUCUCGGACGUCAAGACCUCGACCACGUCCCACCCACCAUCCACCUAGUCGCUAUAUUGAUGAUUUACCCGACGUCCUCGACUACGCGUCAAAAGAAGCCGAAUUGGAAGAAGACGUCGGGGAUAGAACGGGCGCAAUGAAAAAACUGUACUAGCAGUUGGGUAACAACUUGCACCGGCGACGUCUACAUGGUGGAUACCGCCCGGGACGACGAAGGAGGAGAGGACGGCCGCCCCUCCACGUAGCGGCCUUGCCGUAAAAUAAUUCCGGAUGCCUCUCAAGCCUACGCAGCAGCUCGUGUGGAUACCACACACACAUUUUACUCUCUGGAUGUAUGGACGAUCUCUGUUCACUGCUGCUAGAGGAUUUCGAAAC
RNAcentral lists this long non-coding RNA (991 nucleotides) under Hordeum vulgare. RNAcentral's name for it is "long non-coding RNA (HVUL_LNC018005)". Lineage: Eukaryota; Viridiplantae; Streptophyta; Magnoliopsida; Poales; Poaceae. The record is from RNAcentral.